GUGGGGAAUAUUGGGCAAUGGGCGCAAGCCUGACCCAGCAACGCCGCGUGAAGGAAGAAGGCUUUCGGGUUGUAAACUUCUUUUAAGAGGGAAGAGCAGAAGACGGUACCUCUUGAAUAAGCCACGGCUAACUACGUGCCAGCAGCCGCGGUAAUACGUAGGUGGCAAGCGUUGUCCGGAUUUACUGGGUGUAAAGGGCGUGCAGCCGGGCAUGCAAGUCAGAUGUGAAAUCUCAGGGCUCAACCCUGAAACUGCAUUUGAAACUGUAUGUCUUGAGUGCCGGAGAGGUAAUCGGAAUUCCUUGUGUAGCGGUGAAAUGCGUAGAUAUAAGGAAGAACACCAGUGGCGAAGGCGGAUUACUGGACGGUAACUGACGGUGAGGCGCGAAAGCGUGGGGAGCAAACAGGA
RNAcentral lists this ribosomal RNA (408 nucleotides) under uncultured bacterium. RNAcentral describes it as "bacterial SSU rRNA". It matches the Rfam family "Bacterial small subunit ribosomal RNA", at positions 354 to 777 of the family's 1533-position model. The record is from RNAcentral.